RNAcentral lists this small nucleolar RNA (83 nucleotides) under Drosophila grimshawi. RNAcentral describes it as "snoRNA:GH25740". The record is from RNAcentral. Lineage: Eukaryota; Metazoa; Arthropoda; Insecta; Diptera; Drosophilidae.
UAUAUGAUGAUUACUUAACUUACCUUUUGCGGUUUCCACCAGAAAGCGUUAAUUCGCUUAAAGAUGGCCUUAGGUGUCUGAUU